This 99-nucleotide non-coding RNA is filed under the name Lactiplantibacillus plantarum. RNAcentral's name for it is "Lactobacillus plantarum Azaaromatic sequence". It matches the Rfam family "azaaromatic riboswitch aptamer (yjdF RNA)". The record is from RNAcentral. Lineage: Bacteria; Bacillati; Bacillota; Bacilli; Lactobacillales; Lactobacillaceae. RNAcentral also lists the same sequence under 2 other names.
AUUAGCGAAAUUAAAAACACGGUCUGGUCGGUAGUCCAGACGCAGCAACGGCUGUCAGUAACCUGCCUUCCUUGGUUGUCCGAAUUUCGUUAGUGAAAU